RNAcentral lists this small RNA (28 nucleotides) under Bombyx mori (domestic silkworm). RNAcentral's name for it is "ovarian small RNA-34431". Lineage: Eukaryota; Metazoa; Arthropoda; Insecta; Lepidoptera; Bombycidae. The record is from RNAcentral.
UGGAACCCGGACGAUGGGGGCAUGUUGC